Molecule: transfer RNA, 77 nt
Filed under: Rickettsiales bacterium
Lineage: Bacteria; Pseudomonadati; Pseudomonadota; Alphaproteobacteria; Rickettsiales
Description: tRNA-Arg
Rfam family: tRNA
About the family: Transfer RNA (tRNA) molecules are approximately 80 nucleotides in length. Their secondary structure includes four short double-helical elements and three loops (D, anti-codon, and T loops). Further hydrogen bonds mediate the characteristic L-shaped molecular structure. tRNAs have two regions of fundamental functional importance: the anti-codon, which is responsible for specific mRNA codon recognition, and the 3' end, to which the tRNAs corresponding amino acid is attached (by aminoacyl-tRNA synthetases). tRNAs cope with the degeneracy of the genetic code in two manners: having more than one tRNA (with a specific anti-codon) for a particular amino acid; and 'wobble' base-pairing, i.e. permitting non-standard base-pairing at the 3rd anti-codon position.
Source: RNAcentral
GCACCCAUGGCUUAACUGGAUAUAGCAUCGCCCUCCGAAGGCGGGGAUUGCAGGUUCGAAUCCUGCUGGGUGCGCCA